CUUGGUUGAUUAUACCGGCGCACUGCAUUGUUAUCGGUAAAGCUGCCACCUAGGCUACGUCACUCGCCUGUCAAACUGAAGAUUUCCUUUCCACUUUUACCUCAGGGACACCACAGGAGACCAGACGGCUCAUUAAUUUCAGGGCAACCAGGGACAAUGAGUAAAAUCGAAAAUGAUCGCCAGAAAACAGUGGGAGCUUUUUCUGGAAGAAAUGGGGGUGGAGGGGAAAGUGACCAGGCAACAGGCUUCUAAGAAGUGGGAGAACCUUAAAAAGAAGUACAAGGCCCGCUCUAUCACAGAACGCACCUUGGAUUGGCGGUAAUUAAAGCGUUGCUGCACCCGCCCAAUCACCGGCUCUUUAUAGGGAGUCAACAGACAUACGGGCGUCUGGAGGCAGGGGUACCCACCAUCACCUAAAAGCAUGUAACCCGGCGGUGGAUACCUGGCAGUCAAAUAAAAAUAACUGUUUUUCAUUACCCUUGUCCUUUAUG
Molecule: long non-coding RNA, 491 nt
Filed under: Gadus morhua (Atlantic cod)
Lineage: Eukaryota; Metazoa; Chordata; Actinopteri; Gadiformes; Gadidae
Description: lncRNA (ENSGMOG00000022954.1)
Source: RNAcentral